UUAUGACAUCACAUACUACAUGUGUCUUUCUGACUGUAAAGCUUCUUUCUCUCUCUCCAUGCUCCUCUUUAUUCAGACUGCAGCUCUCACCACUCUUGAUAUCACAUGAGAGCAUCCAGCAGUACUUGGGUGCUUGGGAACAGAAGAAGAGUAGGAAAAAUGCACUUGUCCCUGCACAUUCAGUGAUAAUUUGAGUAUUAGGUGGUGAUAAAGGCUACAGUCUUCUUCAGGAGUACUAGGAAUGUAAAGUAGAGAAGACUUCCCCAAAAUGGAAAAUAAAAUGUCAACAUCAAGAAAAGAGUUGUGAUCACAUGACGCAUCUCCAUUUCUGUUUUCCUUCCAGUAGUUUGACUUCUUUUCCUUAUGAAAGAACCACAAUCUGGUUACAAAAACUACAAAUGAUGCUGUAUAUCCUGCCUUUUUACAGAUACCUCAAAAAAGAUAAGCAUUUUUCAAAUUUUCAUCUGUGGAAAGGAUCUUCGUUUCAUCUUGCAGCUCAAAUAAUUGGUGUCAAAUGUUGCAGAAGAAAGCAGACAGCGCUUUUGUGCCCUGUGUAUUCAGGUGGGAUACAGUUCAUUCAGAGCCCAGGUCAUUCCUAG
RNAcentral lists this long non-coding RNA (599 nucleotides) under Zonotrichia albicollis (white-throated sparrow). RNAcentral describes it as "lncRNA (ENSZALG00000009740.1)". The record is from RNAcentral. Lineage: Eukaryota; Metazoa; Chordata; Aves; Passeriformes; Passerellidae.